CUUAAUUUCCGCUCCUGAAAGCGUUGCUAAUGAACCACUCUCCCCGGGAUCCGUCGCCCCUCCCCGGCUGCUCGGUGUUAAUGAUCCGGCCCAGGUGACUCUGUUCAGCCCGUGGGUACAAUAGCCCUUCCCGGCUGCUGGUGGCCUCUGAGACUCCGCUCCAUCAAAACCAAAUUUUGUGUCAUUUCCUCCCCCGUCUUUCCAGCUCUGAAAUCACGUCCCCCACUGCUUUUCCUCUUGGCCACUGCGCCUGCCUUCUGCCUGCUGUCCACAGCACAAACACUAAGCGAAAGGGUCGGGAACUGGGGCUGAUGGCCCACGACCUCAGCACACCCCGGCAUAGUCCACAUGAGAACUCAGCUCUCCCGAACUUGGCCUCUGGGGCCACAAGCUUAUCAGCCUUCAGGGGCCAAUUAGGCAAGGGAAGGAUGUGGGUAGCUCAGUGUGGGACAGUGGGGAGGAGUGGAGUCUGUGGCAAAGUAGAACCUGCGGGUCCUUUGGGGGGUCAUGUCCAUGACUCAGAACCACUGAGCACUGAGUCAUUGACUCGGGCAUUACAGUGUGGUGACCUUUCCAGGAUGCUGCUUACUGGUGGGAGACUUAAGAGUGCCCCUGCCCACUUCUAUCCACCAGAGGCCUUCUUUCUGCCCCUCUGCCUGGCCCCUCUUCCUCCUACCCGCUGUGAAAAGUUACCAGGCAGCCCCUCCGCUGCUCCCACGGGGCCUCCUGCCCCCCGGUGCUUAUGUCUGCGACAUCACCCUGCACCUCUGUUGAAAUCCGCAUUCUCCACCGUCUCAGCAGCUGGCCCACCUGUCAGCCAACGGCCAGGAAGCAAAAGAAGGCAGCUUGGUUUCAAGGUAUUCAGCAACAAAGGCCUCAGCAUUUGGAAUUAUUUUUAGGGGGAUAUUAGUGGUAGGUAUUUUAGGCAUGACAAGGAGGCCAGAAAGGGGGCGUUUGGGAACAGGAAGGGUAGGAGGAGCCCACACUGGGCGGCCCUCCUGUCUGCAAGGCCUCACUGUUCAGCUCUCCCAGCUCUGCUUUGCUAGGGUUCCAGCUCAGCUCGGGCUCCUGCCCCAGAGUUCUGCACCAACACUGUCCUCAGGAGGGAGGACGCAAGUGAGCCCCUCCUCCGGCCCAUCCUGUGACCUCCAGGAGGCUUCUCUUUCCCAGAGUCCUAGAUGAUCUUGCCUGCAAGCCCACACCAUAGGGUCUCAGUGCCUCCCCUGCCUGGGUCUCCAGGAGGUGGGGGUGGAGCCAUGGCUGGCUAAGCUCUGCCUGCCAUGGUGGCUGGUCCCCUCCUGCCCCACCCUGACCCUGCCUGGGAGGGUGCAUCCAGAAGGAGCUUGAGCCCUUGCCCUGGCAAGCCUUCCUCCUUGAGCUCUGGGGAGGCUGCACUGUGCUCAGGACUCCAGACGCUCCUCCUCUGGAGAAGUUGCUCCCACCCAGGGCAACUUGCCCACAAUCCCCAGUCCAGGAAGGACCCCAGCACACCUGCUUCUACCUGCAGAGGUACCACCAGAGGCCGAAACUGUCAGCUCUGUAGGGCAGAGGCUGAGCCUCAUUCCUUUCUCUGUAUCCCCCAAUGCCUGUUAUGUUGUAGAUG
Molecule: long non-coding RNA, 1603 nt
Filed under: Marmota monax (woodchuck)
Lineage: Eukaryota; Metazoa; Chordata; Mammalia; Rodentia; Sciuridae
Source: RNAcentral